This 377-nucleotide unclassified non-coding RNA is filed under the name uncultured Gammaproteobacteria bacterium. RNAcentral describes it as "contains 16S-23S intergenic spacer region". Lineage: Bacteria; Pseudomonadati; Pseudomonadota; Gammaproteobacteria. The record is from RNAcentral.
UCCGGUUUAUCACCGGCGGUCUCCUUAGAGUUCCCACCAUUACGUGCUGGCAACUAAGGACGAGGGUUGCGCUCGUUACGGGACUUAACCCAACAUCUCACGACACGAGCUGACGACAGCCAUGCAGCACCUGUAUCUCGGUUCCCGAAGGCACUCCCCUGUUUCCAGAGGAUUCCAAGUAUGUCAAGAGUAGGUAAGGUUCUUCGCGUUGCAUCGAAUUAAACCGCAUGCUCCACCGCUUGUGCGGGCCCCCGUCAAUUUCUUUGAGUUUUAACCUUGCGGCCGUACUCCCCAGGCGGAGAACUUAACGCGUUAGCUUCGAUACUAAGGAGUAAACUCCCCAACAUCUAGUUCUCAUCGUUGACAGCGUGGACUAC